Molecule: long non-coding RNA, 513 nt
Filed under: Phasianus colchicus (ring-necked pheasant)
Lineage: Eukaryota; Metazoa; Chordata; Aves; Galliformes; Phasianidae
Description: lncRNA (ENSPCLG00000002226.1)
Source: RNAcentral
CAGAGUGACAAGAGCAUUUGGAGAUGAAGUGAUUUCAUUCUUGUCGUCCAGCUGCAGGAACUUGAAGUCAUGCUGCAACCAUAUGUGGAGGAUGCUCCUUCACGAAUCUGGAGGCAAAAGAAUCCAAACUAACAGGUGGACAUUUGUUCCCAUGCUUCACUACGUGGCUGUGACAAUCAGCAGAGCUUGGCAAUGGCAGGAGCUCUACUGGAGUUCUUCAACUGUACAUAUGAAAUGUGAAACAGAUCAGAGUGAGGUUAAUUUUCUCAGUUACAACCAGUUCAAGCCUGUAACUCCUCAGAUGCAAUUGGAUGUGCUUGUCACUGGUUCUUAACAUUACUGGCCUUCUGGGAAAGGCUAUUCCAAAUUCCUUCUCAAGAUAUCAGAAAGCGUUCAAGCAUUUGUGCCAAGGAGUGCCACUGCUGCAAUCUGUUGUGGUGACAGCACAUUCAUCGAUAUUACCCUAGAGUGUAUAAAAAGCUCAGAAGUGUGUAAAAAAUAUAUAUAAAAAAU